AGCGUAGACGGAUGGACAAGUCUGAUGUGAAAGGCUGGGGCUCAACCCCGGGACUGCAUUGGAAACUGCCCGUCUUGAGUGCCGGAGAGGUAAGCGGAAUUCCUAGUGUAGCGGUGAAAUGCGUAGAUAUUAGGAGGAACACCAGUGGCGAAGGCGGCUUACUGGACGGUAACUGACGCUGAGGCGCGAAAGCGUGGGGAGCAAACA
Molecule: ribosomal RNA, 207 nt
Filed under: uncultured bacterium
Lineage: Bacteria
Description: partial 16S ribosomal RNA
Rfam family: Bacterial small subunit ribosomal RNA
Source: RNAcentral